This 831-nucleotide ribosomal RNA is filed under the name uncultured bacterium. Its description in RNAcentral is "bacterial SSU rRNA". It matches the Rfam family "Bacterial small subunit ribosomal RNA", at positions 51 to 890 of the family's 1533-position model. The record is from RNAcentral.
ACACAUGCAAGUCGAGCGGAGACAGUGAGUAGCUUGCUAUGAGCUGUUUUAGCGGCGGACGGGUGAGUAACGCGUGAGCAACCUUUCCCAGACAGGGGAAUAACACACCGAAAGGUGUACUAAUACCGCAUAAGACCACGGGAUCACAUGGUUCUGGGGUAAAAGAUUUAUCGGUUUGGGGUGGGCUCGCGUCCGAUUAGGUAGUUGGUGAGGUAACGGCCCACCAAGCCGACGAUCGGUAGCCGACCUGAGAGGGUGAUCGGCCACAUUGGGACUGAGACACGGCCCAAACUCCUACGGGAGGCAGCAGUGGGGAAUAUUGGGCAAUGGGGGGAACCCUGACCCAGCAACGCCGCGUGGAGGAAGAAGGUUUUCGGAUCGUAAACUCCUGUCCUUGGAGACGAGUAGAAGACGGUAUCCAAGGAGGAAGCCCCGGCUAACUACGUGCCAGCAGCCGCGGUAAUACGUAGGGGGCAAGCGUUGUCCGGAAUAAUUGGGCGUAAAGGGCGCGUAGGCGGCUCGGUAAGUCUGGAGUGAAAGUCCUGCUUUUAAGGUGGGAAUUGCUUUGGAUACUGUCGGGCUUGAGUGCAGGAGAGGUUAGUGGAAUUCCCAGUGUAGCGGUGAAAUGCGUAGAGAUUGGGAGGAACACCAGUGGCGAAGGCGACUAACUGGACUGUAACUGACGCUGAGGCGCGAAAGUGUGGGGAGCAAACAGGAUUAGAUACCCUGGUAGUCCACACUGUAAACGAUGAAUGCUAGGUGUAGGGGGUAUCGACCCCUUCUGUGCCGCAGUCAACACAAUAAGCAUUCCGCCUGGGGAGUACGGCCGCA